AAAAGCCAGAGAACUGAUUGGCUGCCAUGGGGAAGAAGAAGCCUCAGUGUUGGGUUUUAACAGCCCAGCUCCUUGACUCUGCCCUUUCUGGUUCUUAAGAGGCCAAAGCCCCGUGAAGCCAGGGACAUUGUCUCUGCCGCCACCACUGCUGCUGUCCUUAUCAUUUGAGCCG
Non-coding RNA from Myodes glareolus (Bank vole), 172 nucleotides. Lineage: Eukaryota; Metazoa; Chordata; Mammalia; Rodentia; Cricetidae. The record is from RefSeq and is a predicted model, not a curated record.